CAACAAUUAGUUCGUUCUACGCGCGGUUUCGAGAACCACGUCGAUGUGAGGCCUGUUCAUUUAAACCUCGUGGUCACCGAUUGUUGGCUUCUACAGAAGAGGUAAUAAUAUAGAAACGAGAUGGUGAAGGGAUCGAGUUUCAUCGCCGGUCUCGUUUUUCUCUCAAGCGCUUCCUAUCGGCUUCCAGCGAGCGUUGUUCCUAUAUUUACAGACCCACACGCGCCCCUCGGUUCCGGUUUCCAGCUCUUUUCCCCUUCUCCUUUCUCCCCUCAGCAAUCACGAACUGCGUGCCGAGACAGUCAUCAUCGGA
Daphnia carinata is the source of this 310-nucleotide long non-coding RNA. RefSeq lists it as uncharacterized. The record is from RefSeq and is a predicted model, not a curated record. The transcript is spliced from 3 exons. NCBI's taxonomy places the organism in Eukaryota, Metazoa, Arthropoda, Branchiopoda, Diplostraca, Daphniidae.